GAUGAACGCUGGCGGCGUGCCUAAUACAUGCAAGUCGAGCGAACGGACGAGAAGCUUGCUUCUCUGAUGUUAGCGGCGGAAGGGUGAGUAACACGUGGAUAACCUACCUAUAAGACUGGGAGAACUUCGGGAAACCGGAGCUAAUACCGGAUAAUAUUUUGAACCGCAUGGUUCAAAAGUGAAAGACGGUCUUGCUGGCAGUUAUAGAUGGAGCCGCGCUGCAUUAGUUAGUUGGUAAGGUAACGGCUUACCAAGGCAACGAUGCAUAGCCGACCUGAGAGGGUGAUCGGCCACACUGGAACUGAGACACGGUCCAUACUCCUACGGGAGGCAGCAGUAGGGAAUCUUCCGCAAUGGGCGAAAGCCUGACGGAGCAACGCCGCGUGAGUGAUGAAGGUCUUCGGAUCGUAAAACUCUGUUAUUAGGGAAGAACAUAUGUGUAAGUAACUGUGCACAUCUUGACGGUACCUAAUCAGAAAGCCACGGCUAACUACGUG
This 497-nucleotide ribosomal RNA is filed under the name uncultured bacterium. Its description in RNAcentral is "partial 16S ribosomal RNA". It matches the Rfam family "Bacterial small subunit ribosomal RNA", at positions 28 to 507 of the family's 1533-position model. The record is from RNAcentral.